UGUGCCCGCUUUGGCAGUAUGUAUACUAAAUUAAAAUUGGAACAAUACAGAGAAGAUUAACAUGGUCCCUGCACAAGGAUUAAACAAAUCUGUGAAGCAUUCAAUUAAAAA
This is a small nuclear RNA of Nannospalax galili (Upper Galilee mountains blind mole rat), 111 nucleotides long. NCBI's taxonomy places the organism in Eukaryota, Metazoa, Chordata, Mammalia, Rodentia, Spalacidae. The record is from Ensembl.